CGGGACGGGUGGAGUAAUGUCGUAGGGAAACGUCGCCUGAGGAGGGGGAAUAACUACGGGAAACGGUAGCUAAUACCGCAUACGUCGCAAGACCAAAGAGGGGGACCUUCGGGCCUCUUGCCAUCGGAUGUGCCCAGAUGGGAUUAGCUAGUAGGUGGGGUAACGGCUCACCUAGGCGACGAUCCCUAGCUGGUCUGAGAGGAUGACCAGCCACACUGGAACUGAGACACGGUCCAG
This 237-nucleotide ribosomal RNA is filed under the name uncultured bacterium. RNAcentral describes it as "partial 16S ribosomal RNA". It matches the Rfam family "Bacterial small subunit ribosomal RNA", at positions 100 to 334 of the family's 1533-position model. The record is from RNAcentral.